UCGAACGCCCCGCAAGGGGAGUGGCAGACGGGUGAGUAACACGUGGGAACAUACCCUUCGGUACGGAACAACUCGGGGAAACGCGAGCUAAUACCGUAUACGCCUUGGCGGGGAAAGAUUUAUCGCCGAAGGAUUGGCCCGCGUCCGAUUAGCUAGUUGGUGAGGUAAUGGCUCACCAAGGCGACGAUCGGUAGCGUGGUCUGAGAGGAUGGCCCAGCCACAUUGGGACUGAGACACGGCCCAA
Molecule: ribosomal RNA, 244 nt
Filed under: uncultured bacterium
Lineage: Bacteria
Description: partial 16S ribosomal RNA
Rfam family: Bacterial small subunit ribosomal RNA
Source: RNAcentral